Molecule: transfer RNA, 73 nt
Filed under: Camelus bactrianus (Bactrian camel)
Lineage: Eukaryota; Metazoa; Chordata; Mammalia; Artiodactyla; Camelidae
Also listed under: 1 other name
Rfam family: tRNA
About the family: Transfer RNA (tRNA) molecules are approximately 80 nucleotides in length. Their secondary structure includes four short double-helical elements and three loops (D, anti-codon, and T loops).
Source: Rfam by way of RNAcentral
GAGGGUAUAGCUCAAGUGGUAGAGCACAUGCUUAGCAUGCACGAGGUCCUGAGUUCAAGGCCCAGGACCUCCA